ACGGGGUGCCCCUUGCGCGAAACCUCCACAAUGCGCGAAAGCGUGAUGGGGUUAUCCCGAGUGCCGUCCGAUGAGGAUGGCUUUUCAUCGGUGUAAGGAUCCGAUGGAAUAAAGGGGGGGCAAGACUGGUGUCAGCCGCCGCGGUAAUACCAGCCCCCUGAGUGGUAGGGACGAUUAUUUGGCCUAAAGCGUUCGUAGCCGGCUUAUCAAGUCUUUUGUUAAAUCCAGCGAUUCAAUCGUUGGGCCGCAAAAGAUACUGUUAUGCUAGAGGACGGGAGAGGUCGACGGUAGUCCAGGGGUAGGGGUGAAAUCCUAUAAUCCUUGGAGGACCACCAGUGGCGAAGGCGGUCGACUAGAACGUGCCUGACGGUGAGGGACGAAAGCUGGGGGAGCGAACCGGAUUAGAUACCCGGGUAGUCCCAGCCGUAAACGAUGCGGGCUAGGUGUUGGGGCAGCCACGAGCUGCUCCAGUGCCGCAGAGAAGUUGUUAAGCCCGCCGCCUGGGGGAGUACGGCCCGCAAGGCUGAAACUUAAAGGGAAUUGGCGGGGGGAGCACCACAAGGGGGUGAAGG
Molecule: ribosomal RNA, 572 nt
Filed under: uncultured crenarchaeote
Lineage: Archaea; Thermoproteati; Thermoproteota
Description: bacterial SSU rRNA
Rfam family: Archaeal small subunit ribosomal RNA
Source: RNAcentral